GACGAACGCUGGCGGCGUGCCUAACACAUGCAAGUCGAACGGAACUGUUUUGAAAGCUUUCUUCGGAAUGAAUUUGAUUUAGUUUAGUGGCGGACGGGUGAGUAACGCGUGAGUAACCUGCCUUCAAGAGGGGAAUAACAUUCUGAAAAGAAUGCUAAUACCGCAUGACAUAUCGGAACCACAUGGUUUUGAUAUCAAAGAUUUUAUCGCUUGAAGAUGGACUCGCGUCCGAUUAGUUAGUUGGUGAGGUAACGGCUCACCAAGACCGCGAUCGGUAGCCGGACUGAGAGGUUGAACGGCCACAUGGGGACUGAGACACGGCCCAGACUCCUACGGGAGGCAGCAGUGGGGGAUAUUGCGCAAUGGGGGCAACCCUGACGCAGCAACGCCGCGUGAAGGAGGAAGGUUUUCGGAUUGUAAACUUCUUUUAUUAAGGACGAAAAAUGACGGUACUUAAUGAAUAAGCUCCGGCUAACUACGUG
This 482-nucleotide ribosomal RNA is filed under the name uncultured bacterium. RNAcentral's name for it is "partial 16S ribosomal RNA". It matches the Rfam family "Bacterial small subunit ribosomal RNA", at positions 28 to 507 of the family's 1533-position model. The record is from RNAcentral.